This 253-nucleotide ribosomal RNA is filed under the name uncultured bacterium. RNAcentral describes it as "partial 16S ribosomal RNA". It matches the Rfam family "Bacterial small subunit ribosomal RNA", at positions 524 to 776 of the family's 1533-position model. The record is from RNAcentral.
UACGUAGGGGGCGAGCGUUGUCCGGAAUUAUUGGGCGUAAAGAGCGUGUAGGCGGUUCGGUAAGUCUGUCGUGAAAACCUGGGGCUCAACCCCAGGCGUGCGGUGGAUACUGCCGGGCUAGAGGAUGGUAGAGGCGAGUGGAAUUCCUGGUGUAGCGGUGAAAUGCGCAGAUAUCAGGAGGAACACCGAUGGCGAAGGCAGGUCUCUGGGCCACUACUGACGCUGAGGAGCGAAAGCAUGGGUAGCGAACAGG